UCUUUUUUUCAAUUGGGUUUCACCAGAUCCGAUUCGAACAAUUCAGGAUGCAUAAAACAAAACAAAAGAUCGACUCUUGCUGGGAGAGUAUGGAUUUGAGGAUAAAAAUGAUAGAGUUGGAAAAUAGUGUUACCUCAAUGGCGAUUCAAGCCGUGAAAAGCAAACCCUGAGUUGCUAGUCUUCUCACCCUCCUUGUCUGCUUUGCAACUGCGUUUAGGGAUUUUGUGACUGUCUCUAGUAGUGAACUUUUGAGUAGUAUAAAUUUUCAGAUAUAGAAAU
RNAcentral lists this long non-coding RNA (279 nucleotides) under Nicotiana benthamiana. RNAcentral's name for it is "long non-coding RNA (NBEN_LNC021866)". Lineage: Eukaryota; Viridiplantae; Streptophyta; Magnoliopsida; Solanales; Solanaceae. The record is from RNAcentral.